AGCGAACGCUGGCGGCAGGCUUAACACAUGCAAGUCGAGCGGGCACUUUCGGGUGUCAGCGGCGGACGGGUGAGUAACGCGUGGGAACGUGCCCUCUGGUUCGGAAUAACUCAGGGAAACUUGAGCUAAUACCGGAUACGCCCUUUUGGGGAAAGGCUUGCUGCCGGAGGAUCGGCCCGCGUCUGAUUAGCUAGUUGGUGAGGUAACGGCUCACCAAGGCGACGAUCAGUAGCUGGUCUGAGGGGAUGAUCAGCCACACUGGGACUGAGACACGGCCCAGACUCCUACGGGAGGCAGCAGUGGGGAAUAUUGGACAAUGGGCGCAAGCCUGAUCCAGCCAUGCCGCGUGAGUGAUGAAGGCCUUAGGGUUGAAAAGCUCUUUUAUCCGGGACGAUAAUGACGGUACCGGAGGAAUAAGCCCCGGCUAACUUCGUG
This 435-nucleotide ribosomal RNA is filed under the name uncultured bacterium. RNAcentral's name for it is "partial 16S ribosomal RNA". It matches the Rfam family "Bacterial small subunit ribosomal RNA", at positions 29 to 507 of the family's 1533-position model. The record is from RNAcentral.